GAUGAACGCUGGCGGCGUGCCUAACACAUGCAAGUCGAACGGAAAGGCCUCUUUCGGGGGGUACUCGAGUGGCGAACGGGUGAGUAACACGUGAGUAACCUGCCCUUGACUUUGGGAUAACUUCAGGAAACUGGGGCUAAUACCGGAUAGGAGCUCCUGCUGCAUGGUGGGGGUUGGAAAGUUUCGGCGGUUGGGGAUGGACUCGCGGCUUAUCAGCUUGUUGGUGGGGUAGUGGCUUACCAAGGCUUUGACGGGUAGCCGGCCUGAGAGGGUGACCGGCCACAUUGGGACUGAGAUACGGCCCAGACUCCUACGGGAGGCAGCAGUGGGGAAUAUUGCACAAUGGGUGGAAGCCUGAUGCAGCAACGCCGUGUGCGGGAUGACGGCCUUCGGGUUGUAAACCGCUUUCGCUCAUGACGAAGCUUUGUGUGACGGUAGUGGGUAAAGAAGCACCGGCUAACUACGUG
This 467-nucleotide ribosomal RNA is filed under the name uncultured bacterium. RNAcentral describes it as "partial 16S ribosomal RNA". It matches the Rfam family "Bacterial small subunit ribosomal RNA", at positions 28 to 507 of the family's 1533-position model. The record is from RNAcentral.